Molecule: long non-coding RNA, 2391 nt
Filed under: Pan troglodytes (chimpanzee)
Lineage: Eukaryota; Metazoa; Chordata; Mammalia; Primates; Hominidae
Description: long non-coding RNA NONPTRT000982
Source: RNAcentral
AGCGCUGGAAGCAAGAUGGCGGCCGCCGAGAGGGUUCACAAAGGCUCUGGUCCAUUAGAGGAAGGAGGUCCCAGAAUAGCUGGGAAAUUACGAGAACAGCCUCACUGCACGAGUUGGUGAAUGCUGUGGUGCGAUUGUAUGAUGGACGGUGAUGUUGAAACCAGACUGGGGAAUGACCGCCCCAUCCGGAGAGAAAAGCACCAAGGAUUCUCUUUUGUUGAAUUUGAGUUGGCAGAGGAUGUUGCAGCAGCUGUCAACAACAUGUUUGGUCAGAUGAAGACUGGGUGGAGAAGUUUGCUGGGAAGAGGAUAAAGAGGAAGGUGGUUGAGACUUCCCAAAGCAGAAAGCCAGGAGGUAAGAAUGACAGUUCAUGCUUCCAUAGGAGAGGCUGCUGCUUUCCACAUAGGGAAUUUCUGAGGUGAGUGGUGUUGGGUGAAUUUAAAGGAGAAGUUUUGGCUUUCUUAUCUGGGUGAGAAAUAUCUUAUGUGGGCUCAGGUAUUUGUGAUUGCUGCUGAGCAAGGCGGAUAUCUGAGGUGAGAAAGGAUGGUGAGUACUCUGCAUCACCAGCAUCCGCUAUCCUCCUAGUCUUUGGCAGCAGGCUCACUGUCUUCCUGUUCUUGCCCUGAUUCCAAGGGGGCAGAAUCAUGUAGAGGUCCCUUCCCCUCAGUCAGUACACAGGCACAAGGCUCUCCCUGCCCUCUCCACUUGCUCCUGCUUCUCCAUCAGGCCAUCCUGACUGUUGCUUCCCAGGAUAAUUUAAGGGCUCCUCCUCCUCAGUCCACCCUUUGAGCAGUGAUAUUUCCCUGAAUUCCUUCCUUAGCCCUCAGCUCCUCUCUCCACAUUAUCCUUAUGCCAUGUCAGCCACUUCCAUCUCCUAAGGUUAUAACGAUCUUUCAUUGUCCGAAUGAUAUUCUGAUCUCUAUCCCUAGCCCUGACCUUUCACAUAUUUCUGUUUGGGUGUCUUAUAGGCACCAUAAAUAAAGCAUAUCCCAAAUGGGUUUCAUCACCUUUCUGGUCUUUUUUUAUGCCCAAUCUUAGUUCACUUUGCCAUCUUCAACAUAGUCACACCCAAACCAGAUUCCUUGGUGCCAGCUUAGAUCCCUCACUGUAUUUCAUACCUAAUGCAUUACCAUACCCUGCUAAUUUUAUCUUUUAAAUCUUGCGUUUCUCCUCUCCAGUUUUCUUCUGCCACUGUUGUCUUGGCUGAGGCCUUAUCCUCUCUCCUGUGAAUAAUUGGAGUAGCUUCCUAACUGGUCUCCCUGCCCCAGGCCUGUUUUCCUCCUAUCCUUAGCAGCCAGAGGGAGCUUUCUAAAGGGCAGAUCUGACUAUCUCACUCUCCUUAAGCAUUCUAGGGACUCCCUUGAUUUAUAGGAUUGAGUCCAGCCUCCAUCAAAAGGGACAGAAGACCUCUCUAUGUUCUGAUUCCUGCUUAUGUCUCCAUAUUUUAUCUCCAUUUUAUAUUCUAGGAAACAAGAGUUUGUAGAUACCUGUAAAUCUCUAUGUUUUGAUGUAAGUCAUUCCUCUGCCUGCAGUGUCCGUUUCCAAUUUAUUUUAUGUGGCUAAUGCCUGCUCAUUUCUCAUAGCACAGCCCAUUUACUGCCUUCUCCAGGAAGCUUUUCUGAAUCCUCCAGUGAGUAAGGCAAGUAUCACUCUGGGCUCCCAUGGCCUCUGGGUUCCUGUGGCACCCUCUGUCCUGGCAUUAUAUUGAAAUGUGAUUAUAUAGAAAUGUGACUGCAUUAUAUUGAAAUUACUUAUUUAACACAUGUCUAAAUAUUGCUUACUCUAUGCUAGGCACUGUUCUAAGUGCUCUACUAAUAUUUAACCCUAAUAACAAUUAUUUGAGAUAAGUACUAUUAUUAUCCCCAGUUCUAGGUGAGGAAGCUGGGGCACAGUGAAGUCAGUACUUUGUUCAGCGUUACACAGUUCAUAAUGGUGCAGCUGAGGUCUGAACUAAGGCUGUAGAGCUCCAGGAUCUGUGUGCCUUUUACACUGUGGGUAUCCCUCCCCCGCUGGCUAGCCAGUUCCUCAAGGGCAGGGGCCAUAUCUAUCUAACUGCCUAUCUAUUUAUUUUUUAUUUUUUGAUUCAGGGUCUUGCUCUGUUGCCCAGGCUGGAGUGCAGUGGUACCAUCACAGCUCACUGCAGCUUUGACCUUCCAGGCUCAAGUGGUCUUCCUGCCCCAGCCUCCCAAGUAGCUGGAACUACAGGCACACCACCAUAACCAGCUACAUUUUUCAUUUUUUAUUUUGUAGAGACAGGGUCGCACUGUGUUGCCCAGAUUGAUCUCAGAACUCCUGGACUCAAGCAGUCCUCUUGCCUUGGCCUCCCAAAGUGCUGGGAUUACAGUGUGAGACACCACACCCAACUAUAUCUAUUUAUUUAAGAAUCCCAGU